GCCACAGCCCCAACGUAUAUCGCGCAGUGUUGACCAAGACCAAGUCUAGCAGGAAUUCUGGCAUGGUAUGUGGCUGCACGGAGGAUUCCGAAAAAGAAAAACACCAACAUGGCUAAUAGGAUGUUGCUGCCCAGGGAGUCCUGGCCGAAGAGGUUUACUCAUUCCAGAAGCAAGAAUUGUACCAUUGUAAGGCGAAUGGAAAUAAACUGACAUCAAC
Ornithodoros turicata is the source of this 217-nucleotide long non-coding RNA. RefSeq lists it as uncharacterized. The transcript is spliced from 3 exons. Lineage: Eukaryota; Metazoa; Arthropoda; Arachnida; Ixodida; Argasidae. The record is from RefSeq and is a predicted model, not a curated record.